AGCACACUUACGCUACGCAACCGUGGCUUUCGCAUGGAAUUUUACUGGGAUAAGUGUCCAGAUGGAAUUCAAGCAUUCUAUCCAAAUGGUUAUUGAUCAUUAAAAUGGCAUUGUAAAGGGAUGACUCAGAAAUAACAGAGCUUGUUGCUGCUUCUGAGAUAAGGAAAACUCUCAACGUCAAAAUGUGAGCAGAGGAGAGGAUGAAAUAUGCAAUAUGGAUGUCACCUUGUAGCAAUUGGCCUUUACUGACCCAUGAAAAUGGAUGGAGUUGUUCUGGUCUCACUGUGGAGAAGAUCAGGUUCACAGCUUGGAUGGGAGAACAGCAGAAGGAAUCACCUGAGAGGAAGAAGCUGAUCUUAAAAAAGAUAUCCUUGAAGAUUAAUCAGAGAACCUUUCAUUCACCCAUAAAGGAGGAUCUGUCAUCACACAUACAGAAGAUGUGCAGACCUGGAGGACAGCACCACACCAGCACAACCACAACAUCCUUAAGUUACACUUGGACUUCAGUUGAACAUAUUCAUUUGACUACAGAGAAACACUGCUAUCAAGUGAUGUGGUUGCUAAAAGAGAACACUGAACAGGUGUUCUCAGUUCUGAUUGUCAUGCCUUCCCAGCAGUACGCCCCAUAUUGUCUCAGAUCUGGAGCCGGUGUUGACUAGACACCUUUGGUUCAUGUUUUGCCUUUUUCCUAAGGCUUUACCACUUACUUCCAGGGACGCAAUUGGUGAAGCCAUGUGAAUGUUACUGUGUCAAGAGAGCCCUCAUGGUGCCUCCCAUUGAGUAGAAAGGAAUACCUUGGCUGUUUAUGACUUUGUUGCUUAAAUCUUCUAAUAAAAACUUCUAUUUUGCUAAACAGAGGUUCUUAUAGCCCUUCAUUUGCAUGAAAUGUAAAAUCAGUUAAUAUAUAAGUCAUGGCAACUGAAUGGGCAAGAAAGAUG
This 938-nucleotide long non-coding RNA is filed under the name Equus caballus (horse). Its description in RNAcentral is "lncRNA (ENSECAG00000054069.1)". Lineage: Eukaryota; Metazoa; Chordata; Mammalia; Perissodactyla; Equidae. The record is from RNAcentral.